Molecule: ribosomal RNA, 520 nt
Filed under: uncultured archaeon
Lineage: Archaea
Description: bacterial SSU rRNA
Rfam family: Archaeal small subunit ribosomal RNA
Source: RNAcentral
CCCCCAAAAACGAAAAGUGUGACGGGGUUACCCAAAGUGUCCAUUAAUGGACUGUGGUAGGUGAGUAAUGUCCCCUAUUAGAAAGGAGAGGGCAAGGCUGGUGCCAGCCGCCGCGGUAAAACCAGCUCUUCAAGUGGUCGGGAUAAUUAUUGGGCUUAAAGUGUCCGUAGCCGGUUUGGUAAGUUCCUGGUAAAAUCGAGUAGCUUAACUAUUUGUAUGCUAGGAAUACUGCUAUACUAGAGGGCGGGAGAGGUCUGAGGUACUACAGGGGUAGGAGUGAAAUCUAUUGAUCCUUGUAGGACCACCAGUGGCGAAGGCGUCAGACUGGAACGUGCCUGACGGUGAGGGACGAAAGCCAGGGGAGCGAACCGGAUUAGAUACCCGGGUAGUCCUGGCCGUAAACGAUGCAUACUAGGUGAUGGCACGGCCAUGAGCCGUGUCAGUGCCGUAGGGAAACCGUUAAGUGUGCCGCCUGGGAAGUACGGUCGCAAGGCUAAAACUUAAAGGAAUUGGCGGGGGA